UGGUGGAGGGCUUGGUGGUGGAGGUGGACUUGGUGGCGGUGGAGGAGCUGGUGGAGGGGCAGGAGGUGGCAUUGGCGGUGGUGGAGGACUUGGAGGUGGAGGCGGUGGAGGAUUUGGUGGAGGUGGUGGCGCUGGAGGAGGCUUUGGAGUUGGUGGAGGUUUUGGCAAAGGUGGCGGUGUUGGUGGUGGAGUAGGUGGAGGUGGUGGAUUUGGUGGAGGUUUUGGUGCCGGUGGUGGUGCUGGGUUUGGCGGUGGAGGUGGUUUUGGAGCUGGGGGGGGCGGCCACUAGAGUUGAUUAAAAUGUGACAUUAUAUUACUUAUUACGUACUUUGCUCCCAUGAGAAAAACAAGUAGUUGGAUAUAUGCUGCUUGGGUCAUUCCAAUUCAUCCGAAUAUAUAUUAUUAAACGAAGUUGAGGGAAUUGAAAAAGACAUAUUCUAGUGUUUAGUUAAAUGGAAACAGCAUUUUGUUUUCGUUAUAGCAUUGUUCUUAAUCUUCCAUCCAUGGUAAGCUUGUAUAAACAUCCGGGAUAAAUUUCAAUAACUAUUCAUGAACUUAUAUGGUUGUAAUAUUA
This 574-nucleotide unclassified non-coding RNA is filed under the name Hevea brasiliensis (rubber tree). Lineage: Eukaryota; Viridiplantae; Streptophyta; Magnoliopsida; Malpighiales; Euphorbiaceae. The record is from RNAcentral.